Molecule: ribosomal RNA, 426 nt
Filed under: Serboiulus lucifugus
Lineage: Eukaryota; Metazoa; Arthropoda; Diplopoda; Julida; Julidae
Description: partial 16S ribosomal RNA
Rfam family: Archaeal large subunit ribosomal RNA
Source: RNAcentral
GGUUUUCUGGUAUUCGAUAGAAGAUUUAGUCUGCUCACUGAGGAAUUUAAAGGGCUGCAGUAUUAUGACUGUACAAAGGUAGCACAAUCACUAAUCUCUUAAUUAGAGGCGGGGAUGAAAGGCCAAACAAAGGAAUACUGUCUCAGGCUUAAUUUUUGAAUUUUUCUUUUCUGUAAAAAGACAGAGAUGNUAAUAAAAGACAAGAAGACCCUGUUAAAGUUUAUUUGGUUGGGUGUGGAAAGUAACCUAUAAUUAUUACUGUGUUUAGCUAAAUUUUGCUGGGGCGGCAGGUAUGAGUACAAUAUAAGGAUAAAUGGGAUGAUUAGAUAAUUAUGUGAGCCGGGAGGACCGAGUGUAAGAAUAAGUUACUGAAGGGAUAACAGCGUUAUAUUACUUGAGAGUUCAUAUUGACAGUGGUGUUUGCGA